AAGUAACAGCAAUGACUAUAGCAACUAUACACAAAUGAAUCACUUAUUUGAAUCACAUAUCCCAAAUGCAGUCGGCAUCAAAAACAGGCAGACUAACUGACACUGACAGCAAAGAAUCAGACUGAGGCCUGUUUUGGGCUCCAACUGGUGCAGGUGGAGCUGAAUUAAUGUCAAAUCCAAAGUAUUCCAAAGUGUUGGGCAGGAUGCUGGAUUUCAACACUGGUAGUAUGAGUUUAUGUAGAACUACAGCCUUGUAAAAAGAAAGUUUUAAUGCAGUCCUGGGGGGAAAAAAACACACGCUUAUUGCUUCCAUAGGAAAUAAGAGGGUAAGCAACAGCCAGGUGCUGCUAAUCAAAUGCAGCUGAUUAACUGAUCAUCAGCAGGUGUGAGCACCUCCAUAAGUUUUGGAUAGUUUUUUGCAUUUGAACAAACCACACGAUUUCUGGAUGAAUCCCCUCUGGAAAGAUGUGGAGUGAAGAUGUUUGGACAUAAUGUGCAGUUCCUUUGCUGAGCUUGUUUGCUAAAGCCAGACACGGGAUCCCCAAUUUGGGGUCAUGUGACAGGACGAUGACUCCCGAGCAAAUCUACAACAGAAUGGAUGAAAAGCAACAGAAUCAAGGAAAAAGUUUCACAGGAGUGGAUGCCAGCGAGGAGGGUUCCAGGAGACUGAGCGAGACUUCACUGGGAGAGAGGACAGGCAGGUUAAUCCAGUGUGUCUUUUCCUGUCUUUCCCUUCACCCCCAAACCGUGAGAGCGGGAAGACAGAACCAGGCUCAGGGAGGUGGCCUUUCCCUGAGCAACAAACAGUGUUCCUCACCAUCACAAAUCUGUAGCUGUUUCCUAAAAUGUGAGCCCCCUGGGUGGGCUCCAUAUGGAUCACCAAAGUUUCUGAUAAAUUAAUAAACCUUUUUUCA
Oreochromis niloticus (Nile tilapia) is the source of this 914-nucleotide long non-coding RNA. RefSeq lists it as uncharacterized. The transcript is spliced from 3 exons. The record is from RefSeq and is a predicted model, not a curated record. Lineage: Eukaryota; Metazoa; Chordata; Actinopteri; Cichliformes; Cichlidae.